This 522-nucleotide ribosomal RNA is filed under the name uncultured Roseateles sp. RNAcentral describes it as "bacterial SSU rRNA". It matches the Rfam family "Bacterial small subunit ribosomal RNA", at positions 926 to 1452 of the family's 1533-position model. Lineage: Bacteria; Pseudomonadati; Pseudomonadota; Betaproteobacteria; Burkholderiales; Sphaerotilaceae. The record is from RNAcentral.
CAAGCGGUGGAUGAUGUGGUUUAAUUCGAUGCAACGCGAAAAACCUUACCUACCCUUGACAUGCCAGGAAUCCUGAAGAGAUUUGGGAGUGCUCGAAAGAGAGCCUGGACACAGGUGCUGCAUGGCCGUCGUCAGCUCGUGUCGUGAGAUGUUGGGUUAAGUCCCGCAACGAGCGCAACCCUUGUCAUUAGUUGCUACGAAAGGGCACUCUAAUGAGACUGCCGGUGACAAACCGGAGGAAGGUGGGGAUGACGUCAGGUCAUCAUGGCCCUUAUGGGUAGGGCUACACACGUCAUACAAUGGCCGGGACAGAGGGCUGCCAACCCGCGAGGGGGAGCUAAUCCCAGAAACCCGGUCGUAGUCCGGAUCGUAGUCUGCAACUCGACUGCGUGAAGUCGGAAUCGCUAGUAAUCGCGGAUCAGCUUGCCGCGGUGAAUACGUUCCCGGGUCUUGUACACACCGCCCGUCACACCAUGGGAGCGGGUUCUGCCAGAAGUAGUUAGCCUAACCGCAAGGAGGGCG